GAUGAACGCUGGCGGCGUGCUUAAUACAUGCAAGUCGAGCGAACGGACGAGAAUCUUGCUUCUCUGAUGUUAGCGGCGCACGUGUGAGUAACACGUGUAUAACCUACCUAUAAUACUGGGAUAACUUCGGGAAUCCGGAUCUUAUACCAUAUAAGAUUUUGAACCGCAUGGUUCAAAAGUGAAAUACGGUCUUGCUGUCACGUAUCGAUGGAUCCGCGCUGCAUUAGCUAGUUGUGAAGCUAACGGCCUAUCAAGGCAACGAGGCAUAGCCGACCUCAGAGGGUGAUCGGCCACACUGGAGCUGAGACACGGUCCAGACUACUACGGGAGGCAGCAGUAGGGAAUCUUCCGCAAUAGGCGAAAGCAUGACGGAGCAACGCCGCGUGAGUGAUGAAGGUCUUCGGAUCGUAAAACUCUGUUAUUAGGGAAGAACAUAUGUGUAAGUAACUGUGCACAUCUUGACGGUAACUAAUAAGAAAGCACCGGCUAACUACGUG
RNAcentral lists this ribosomal RNA (497 nucleotides) under uncultured bacterium. RNAcentral describes it as "partial 16S ribosomal RNA". It matches the Rfam family "Bacterial small subunit ribosomal RNA", at positions 28 to 507 of the family's 1533-position model. The record is from RNAcentral.